Molecule: non-coding RNA, 184 nt
Organism: Chelonoidis abingdonii (Abingdon island giant tortoise)
Lineage: Eukaryota; Metazoa; Chordata; Testudines; Testudinidae
Source: RefSeq, a predicted model, not a curated record
GCCCGGGCUGGGUGGCAGGUCCGGUAGUUCCUCAGGGAAGUCUGGGCUGGCUUGCUCCGGUGGUUCCUCCGGUUAACAGCAGGGCUGGGGGGGCUCCAGCGGCUCCUCCGGGUAGCAGGCGUGGGGAAGCUCUGGCAGCUCCUCCAAGUAGCGGGUGCGGGGAAGCUCCAAUCAGGGUUCUCAG